CACUUGUCCCUUGGGGACUGCUGGAUGACAUUGCUGGGGCAAGGGAGAGGUGCUGCCCUGGGUGAAGAGCUUUGAGCUCUGCUUGGUGACUGCAGGGUCUCCUGUCUGUUCCCAGGAAGGUUUACUCUGGAGAAUACACCAUCUUCCUGAUACCCUGCACGGUGCAGCCCACGCAGCCGUGGGCAGAGCUUGGAGCCAAGCCCCUGCCCUGCACGGCUCAUGCUCCCGAGCGGUUUUUGAUCCCGAUCUCCUUCCAGCAGACAAACCGCCCACUUCCAGUUGUUUACUCCCUGAACACAGAGUUUCAGCUCUGUAACAACGAGAAGGUUUUUCUAAUGGACCCCACCAAAUCAGAAAGGUCUCUGGCAGAAAUGGAUUACAAGGGGGCUUUUCCAAGGGGCAGAUCCUGUACGGGCGUGUGCUCUGGCACCCCGAACAAAACCUCAACGCCGCUUACAAGCUGCAGCUGGAGAAGGUCCACCUGUGCACAGGCAGGGCUGGCUACGUGCCCCUCUUCGACCCCACGG
Molecule: non-coding RNA, 527 nt
Organism: Cyanistes caeruleus (blue tit)
Lineage: Eukaryota; Metazoa; Chordata; Aves; Passeriformes; Paridae
Source: RefSeq, a predicted model, not a curated record